This 281-nucleotide ribosomal RNA is filed under the name Escherichia coli. Its description in RNAcentral is "partial 23S ribosomal RNA". It matches the Rfam family "Bacterial large subunit ribosomal RNA", at positions 2668 to 2925 of the family's 2925-position model. The record is from RNAcentral. Lineage: Bacteria; Pseudomonadati; Pseudomonadota; Gammaproteobacteria; Enterobacterales; Enterobacteriaceae.
GGGGCUGCUCCUAGUACGAGAGGACCGGAGUGGACGCAUCACUGGUGUUCGGGUUGUCAUGCCAAUGGCACUGCCCGGUAGCUAAAUGCGGAAGAGAUAAGUGCUGAAAGCAUCUAAGCACGAAACUUGCCCCGAGAUGAGUUCUCCCUGACCCUUUAAGGGUCCUGAAGGAACGUUGAAGACGACGACGUUGAUAGGCCGGGUGUGUAAGCGCAGCGAUGCGUUGAGCUAACCGGUACUAAUGAACCGUGAGGCUUAACCUUACAACGCCGAAGGUGUUU